GCCGACCUAGGAUAAUGUUAUACAUAGAUGGAAUCUUGACUACAAAAUAGUUUACUUUGAUAACCACCUAUUCUGAAGCUCACCUAGCUAUCAUGAUCAAUGAAAUAGUCCCUUCUAUGGGGAUAGUAUUAUCUAAGAAUCCAAUCAGAGGUGUGUUUCUCUUUGCCAGUAGCUCAGAACUCAAGUUUAUAUGAAUAAAAAUAUUAUAAAAUAAAAUAUCA
This 221-nucleotide long non-coding RNA is filed under the name Elaeis guineensis (African oil palm). Its description in RNAcentral is "long non-coding RNA (EGUI_LNC078984)". The record is from RNAcentral. Lineage: Eukaryota; Viridiplantae; Streptophyta; Magnoliopsida; Arecales; Arecaceae.